RNAcentral lists this long non-coding RNA (1005 nucleotides) under Anas platyrhynchos platyrhynchos (common mallard). Its description in RNAcentral is "lncRNA (ENSAPLG00000030075.1)". The record is from RNAcentral. Lineage: Eukaryota; Metazoa; Chordata; Aves; Anseriformes; Anatidae.
CAUGUCAGCAGUCAGAAUAUCAUUCACGCUGACUAUACAUCUUUGAUUUGAAACAUAUUGUUUGUUUUUUUAUGUGGAGAUAAGCAACACAAAUGAAGAAAUAGAGUGUAUAGAGUGUGUGUAUGCAUGCGUGUGUGUACGUAUACAUAAAUAUGGAUACAUUCACAUGAGACCCGAGUAUAAUAAUAAUAAUAUAUAAUAAAAAAUAGUUCUUUUCAGAAAUAAUAAAAUAAUGUUAUUAGUAUAUUUCUGGGUCAUUUUUAGCACAGCUCAAAUUCUGCUUAUCUUUUUCUGCUUCUAGUCAUGUUUCUUUUUUUUUUUUUUUCUUCUUCUUCUUUAAAAAAAAUAAAAUUAUCCUGAUGCAAGCAAACAUAUAAUAGUGAAUGGACUCUCUGGGAGUGCCGGCAAGCCCACUUUUGACAGCAUGAACUCUUAAGGAAGGAACAAAAGUGUGAACAGACCCAAAACUGUCAGAGAGGGCCUUUGCCCCAAAAGGUUUCUGGGGGAUGUUGACAACCAGUGAGAUUGAACAGUAAGUGGGAAACUACAGGGAGAGUUUUGAAACAAAGGAGGAGUUUGCUUGAACACAAGUAUAAAACAAGCAUGAAAAUUCAUAAUGGUGUGGAGAGACCACAUUGGAUUGGAGGCAGCAGCAGUGAAAAUCUGUUUUGAUGCUGCCUGAAGUCACUUUCCAAACUCUGCCCGGGUCAAAGCAACCACUCUGAUGGACACUGCAAGAAGCCCACAUGUGGUUGGGACUGAUGACUUGGUGGGUAACACCUGGGACCCACACAUCAGGAGAAUGUGUGUGUGAGUUCAAAUGGUGCUUUCUCAUGAAUUAGUGGGUUAAGAGGAGAAAUGUAUAUGCUUGCAAAGUCGAAGCAACUGUUUCCAACCAGAGCUGUGUGGAAAUGCAGAUACCUGUGUUUCCAUGAGAAAUGGGAGGACGCUUGUAAGCUACAUCUAUGUCAAAAGUGCAAUAACCACCAGUGCUGUCCAGGGUAG